Molecule: long non-coding RNA, 1563 nt
Organism: Monomorium pharaonis (pharaoh ant)
Lineage: Eukaryota; Metazoa; Arthropoda; Insecta; Hymenoptera; Formicidae
Exons: 3
Source: RefSeq, a predicted model, not a curated record
GUCAGUCGCGAAGCGCGCUAUCAGCGUACAGCUUUGGAGUUUCUUUUUAUUUAAAUGUCUUUUUAUUUCUGUUUACUUCUGUCAACUUCUUUUCGCUGUGUCGUCUGGUCUGGCCUGGUCGCCUGAAAGUCGUGAAACCGGCAAUUGAUGCCUUGUGAUCUCGUACGUGCUCUACUUUUAUUUCGUGUUUUUUGAAAACGUUUUCCAUACGUAUUUAUCGCAAUAAAACGGUUAUAUCUUUAUUUUAUGGAUAUUAUUUUAAUUACAACGCAGAUUGUACAAUUCACUUUCUAUAUUAUCUGCGACAUUGUUUGCCGAUAAUAUUUUCCAAAGUAAACACUCAGGAUUUUACGAUCAAUCAAUUAAUUCUGGAUCUUUUGAAACAUUGGAAAUUCUUAAAGUAAGCAAUGCCUAAAUCAGAAAUGGAGAAACUAAAACCGUCAUGGACAAUAGUUCAGUUUGCGGCAGAUAAUACUGUUGAAACAGUACCAUCAAGCUGGAUAGAACGCGACAAAUGCUACUGGCCUCCAUUUAAGUAUGAACAGAUUAUUGCCGCAAUUCGAAAAAACACAGAACAAAAUACAUGUUGGCCAUCUUACGACAUUAUUACGUUCCGGAACAGCACGUAUUAGCAGGUUAGUAGCAUUUCACUAAAAAAAAUAUUUAUAUUAUUAUUUAAUGUCAUUUUUCUAGGACUGAAAAGUAAUAUAUAUUGCUAUUGUUCAUUGUAAUGUAAGCAUUUAUUUGUAUAAUUUUAGAUGAUUACAAUACGGCAAGAUUGAAAACAAAAAAAGCUGAAUGUACAUUCGAUUUAAAUUCAGAGAUUGAGGCAGGUACAAAAAGAAAAAGGAUUAAAAAUCGAUUGUUUCCAAGUGAUACGAAUGAUAGCGAUUAGGAAAAUAGCGCCCCUACAAAACGAAAACAAACGAAAGGUUUGUUCCAUAAACAAAAAUUAUUUUCUAAAAUUAGUGUGUAAAUAUUAAAGUUUAUUGAUGUAUAAUGUAAUGUAUUUUAUAAAGAAUAUAUACUAAAUUAUAUUUUAAAUUAUUUCCUCAGAGGACGAAAUUCUGAAAAAGAAGGUUAAGGCUAAAGAUAUUUAUACUAGUGAAGAAUCUGAGGAGUCUGACAGCAUUCUUCCAAUUCCUCCAAAAAUAACAGAUACUGAUUAUUAUUUUGGUCUAAAAAAAUGUUUAAUUUAAAUUCCUGUGAAAUGAGUAUACUAAAAAAUAAAGAAUUUGAAAAAUUAUUAGAUAAGUUUAAUAUAAAAGAAAUGCUUGCUCUAUAUACAGAAUAGCUUAAAGAGUUCAUCAUGUUUACUUAAUGAGAUAAUCAUGUUUACUUAAUGUUUUAUUUAAAUAUUAACAUUUUUCAUAUAAUUUUCAAUUUUUUUUCUUUCUUUGACCUGACAUUAAGUUCAUAAAUUUAUUCUGUUGAAAAUGUAUAAUAAUAAAAAUUCUUUGCUUUUUUAUCUGUCAUGAUAUUAAACUUACACAUUAGGCCUUAGGGGAUGCCGAGUCGUAAAAGAAAAUAAAAUUUUAUUGAUUAAAUCUUCCACGCUAAAAA